Molecule: ribosomal RNA, 253 nt
Filed under: uncultured bacterium
Lineage: Bacteria
Description: partial 16S ribosomal RNA
Rfam family: Bacterial small subunit ribosomal RNA
Source: RNAcentral
UACGUAGGGGGCAAGCGUUGUCCGGAUUUAUUGGGCGUAAAGAGCGUGUAGGCGGUUCGGUAGGUCCGUUGUGAAAACUCGAGGCUCAACCUCGAGACGCCGAUGGAAACCCCCGAACUAGAGUCCGGAAGAGGAGAGUGGAAUUCCCGGUGUAGCGGUGAAAUGCGCAGAUAUCGGGAAGAACACCCGUGGCGAAGGCGGCUCUCUGGGCCUGUACUGACGCUGAGGAGCGAAAGCGUGGGGAGCGAACAGG